Molecule: ribosomal RNA, 722 nt
Filed under: uncultured Fusobacterium sp.
Lineage: Bacteria; Fusobacteriati; Fusobacteriota; Fusobacteriia; Fusobacteriales; Fusobacteriaceae
Description: bacterial SSU rRNA
Rfam family: Bacterial small subunit ribosomal RNA
Source: RNAcentral
GAUGAACGCUGACAGAAUGCUUAACACAUGCAAGUCAACUUGAACUUCGGUUUGGGUGGCGGACGGGUGAGUAACACGUAAAGAACUUGCCUCACAGAUAGGGACAACAUUUGGAAACGAAUGCUAAUACCUGAUAUUAUGAUUUUAGGGCAUCCUAGGAUUAUGAAAGCUAUAUGCGCUGUGGGAGAGCUUUGCGUCCCAUUAGCUAGUUGGAGAGGUAACGGCUCACCAAGGCGAUGAUGGGUAGCCGGCCUGAGAGGGUGAUCGGCCACAAGGGGACUGAGACACGGCCCUUACUCCUACGGGAGGCAGCAGUGGGGAAUAUUGGACAAUGGACCAAGAGUCUGAUCCAGCAAUUCUGUGUGCACGAUGAAGUUUUUCGGAAUGUAAAGUGCUUUCAGUUGGGAAGAAAAAAAUGACGGUACCAACAGAAGAAGUGACGGCUAAAUACGUGCCAGCAGCCGCGGUAAUACGUAUGUCACAAGCGUUAUCCGGAUUUAUUGGGCGUAAAGCGCGUCUAGGUGGUUAUGUAAGUCUGAUGUGAAAAUGCAGGGCUCAACUCUGUAUUGCGUUGGAAACUGUGUAACUAGAGUACUGGAGAGGUAAGCGGAACUACAAGUGUAGAGGUGAAAUUCGUAGAUAUUUGUAGGAAUGCCGAUGGGGAAGCCAGCUUACUGGACAGAUACUGACGCUGAAGCGCGAAAGCGUGGGUAGCAAACAGG